Molecule: small RNA, 68 nt
Filed under: Arabidopsis thaliana (thale cress)
Lineage: Eukaryota; Viridiplantae; Streptophyta; Magnoliopsida; Brassicales; Brassicaceae
Description: ATSL153630
Source: RNAcentral
AUAUAUAUAUUUAAUAGGAGCAAUUAAUCUCAACUCCAAAGUCUCCUACUCUACAGAAAUUAUUACUA